Salarias fasciatus (jewelled blenny) is the source of this 289-nucleotide long non-coding RNA. RefSeq lists it as uncharacterized. The transcript has 3 exons. The record is from RefSeq and is a predicted model, not a curated record. Lineage: Eukaryota; Metazoa; Chordata; Actinopteri; Blenniiformes; Blenniidae.
AAUGUAUUCUGGCAUUUUCUGCCUUGUGUGGACAUGCCUUUUGAAGAAGUUGUGCACAAUAUGUGAAAUUUUAUUUUUUUGAAUCAUGUUUUUUUUCUGUAUGCUGUCAACAAAUAAAUGAAGAAUAAAUACUUGGAUAAUAAUACUUGGAAUAAAUUGUGUUCUUUUCUGACUUCUUAAAUACUCAAUCCUCAUAUUUUGAGCUCUGCUCAGCCCUCACUAAUGUGGUGGGCCAUUCACAUUAUUCCGACUAAAUGACAUAAAUGAGCGUGAAAGCACUUCAGUGGGG